RNAcentral lists this ribosomal RNA (493 nucleotides) under uncultured bacterium. RNAcentral's name for it is "partial 16S ribosomal RNA". It matches the Rfam family "Bacterial small subunit ribosomal RNA", at positions 27 to 507 of the family's 1533-position model. The record is from RNAcentral.
GAGUGAACGCUGGCGGUCGGCCUAACCCAUGCAAGUCGAACGGCAGCCCAGUAAGAGCUUGCUCUUACGGGUGGCGAGUGGCGGACGGGUGAGGAAUACAUCGGAAUCUACUUUUUCGUGGGGGAUAACGUAGGGAAACUUACGCUAAUACCGCAUACGACCUACGGGUGAAAGCAGGGGAUCUUCGGACCUUGCGCGAUUGAAUGAGCCGAUGUCGGAUUAGCUAGUUGGCGGGGUAAAGGCCCACCAAGGCGACGAUCCGUAGCUGGUCUGAGAGGAUGAUCAGCCACACUGGAACUGAGACACGGUCCAGACUCCUACGGGAGGCAGCAGUGGGGAAUAUUGGACAAUGGGCGCAAGCCUGAUCCAGCCAUACCGCGUGGGUGAAGAAGGCCUUCGGGUUGUAGAGCCCUUUUGUUGGGAAAGAAAAGCAGCAGGUUAAUACCCCGCUGUUCUGACGGUACCCAAAGAAUAAGCACCGGCUAACUUCGUG